UCAAUUAAGCGGAGGAAAAGAAACCAACAGGGAUUGCCUUAGUAGCGGCGAGUGAAGCGGCAAAAGCUCAAAUUUGAAAUCUGGUACUUUCAGUAUCCGAGUUGUAAUUUGUAGAAGCAACUUUGGUGAUGGUCUUUGCAUAAGUUCCUUGGAAUAGGACGUCAUAGAGGGUGAGAAUCCCGUAUAUGGUGAAGAACCCACACUAUGUAAAGUGCUUUCGAAGAGUCGAGUUGUUUGGGAAUGCAGCUCAAAGUGGGUGGUAAAUUCCAUCUAAAGCUAAAUAUUGGCGAGAGACCGAUAGCGAACAAGUACUGUGAAGGAAAGAUGAAAAGAACUUUGAAAAGAGAGUGAAAAAGUACGUGAAAUUGUUGAAAGGGAAGGGAUCUAAAUCAGACAUGGUAUUUUGUGAUCAACAGUCUUUCGGGAUUGUGCACUCGCAUUUUACUAGGCCAGCAUCGGUUAGAAGGGGGUAAAAAAGAUUUUGGAAUGUGGCUCCUCGGAGUGUUAUAGCCAAAGUUAAUUGCCCCAUUUCUGACCGAGGACCGCGUCUUUUGACUAGGAUGCUGGCGUAAUGGUUUUGAUCCACCCGUCUUGAAA
This 597-nucleotide ribosomal RNA is filed under the name Zygoascus hellenicus. RNAcentral's name for it is "eukaryotic LSU rRNA". It matches the Rfam family "Eukaryotic large subunit ribosomal RNA", at positions 42 to 659 of the family's 3401-position model. The record is from RNAcentral. Lineage: Eukaryota; Fungi; Ascomycota; Dipodascomycetes; Dipodascales; Trichomonascaceae.